UUUUUUUUUUUUGGAAUUAAGAAUUUUACACAUCAGCGACUGCAUUCCCACAAGGACAAGUUCGUGGAUGCCCUAAGGACACAUUUCUGUACAAACCACAAUUGAACUUGGUCCUUCUAUCCUGCCUCAGCCGAGGGACGGGGAAGCGUGGUCUUAAAGGGACUUUUACAUGCCCUGUGGUUCUGUACAUCUUUGUUUGACUAGCACAGAAAUCAUCAAAAGAGAGGAAUAGGGACGCCCACGAUGUCCCGUGCAGAGGCCGCCGGCCUUGUCCCCCAGGCAGCACGUCCCCCCCAGGUGUGGCGUCAGGGCUCCUGCGGGACUCGGGUCCUUUAAGCCACCAGCUCACACCCUCCCCUCUGGGCCAGAAACAAACUUCCAUCUGUCUUCGUACCACAUCCUCACUGUGUUUUGUGGAAUGUUCCACGUGCACUGACGGGUGGAUUGGAAGAAAGAGGACAGGAGGACAGGAGGAAGAACCUUCCCAAGAAGGAACCCUCCCUUAAGGAAGUGGACGCUCAGAGUUAGUUACUAGACAAGCUGCAGGUGGACAAAACCCUCCCACAAAGAAAGGCACGAGCUCAGAGCCCAGCCCUGCUCCUUCGGGCCUGUAAUCCCCGCCAAGCUCGAGGCCCGAGGAGCAGGGACCCAGCAAACGUCUGGGAGACGGACAGCGGAGCACAGCUCAUGUGUUUUGUGGCCCAACACUGUUACCGUCGUUUCACUGCGAAUGGAUGAGCGACACGUGACACCGUUCAAGCGCCUCCGGGCCUCUUCUGAAGGGCAAAUUACACGUUUCCACCACCUACCAGGGGAGACACUCAGGGCUUCAGCUGGAAGAAAACGUCCCACUCUAAGUCUGUGCCUCCAGCUUUGUUUUCUUAGGAUUUGGCUUCCUGGAGAUACCAUCCAGAGUGGCGGCUGCGCCGCAGUAGGAGCCCCACGGACGGAUGACAAGGAUAAACAUGCUCCUGCUUUCAUCACUUAGGGAGCACUGGUCACUCUGGACAGUGGCGGGCACUCCAGAAAGGAAGCCGACAGGACCUCUGCUCCCCCAGACCCUCAGCGCAGAAUAAACCAGGUCACACGAGGGAGGCCCGUUUCAAACGGCACCAGGGCCUCCGAGGUUUUGCUCGAUGGCUGGGCUUGAACUUCAAUCACCAUGAAAUGAAGCAAGCGCAGUGAGCGGGUCCGUGGCCGCCGAUUCUGAGGCUCCGAGAAGGGCUGGGCUGAGGCGACGGCCAGGGGCCAGGGGAGCGCGGGCGUGUCUGGUGACUGAGGAGUCCCCCAAGGUUUCAGCAGAGAAUAAAGGAGAGGCCGGAGGGAGAGAGAGUGAGCAUCACCCCCAGAGGGGGCGUGAAGGGGGUCCUGGCGGUCCACUGGCAAACGAGAGAGCGGAGGCGAAGAUGCCGACCAGCAGGAACGAAAUCGCCCGACAUAGAAAUACACGUGGUCACCGUUUCCUGCGCAAGCGCGUUAAAACCAAGCCUUGGGCAGGCUAAUCGGAUUUUAAAAGCCCUAAGAGAGUUUACUGUUCUGAGACGUUCUUGCUGAACUCCUUUGACUAGAAUAAUUCUUUUGUAAAAUAAAUAAUCUGCCACACAAACUUAUCUUUCGCUUCAAUCAGACCACAGCCUCGCCUGGCCUGUUCCAUAAUCAGCACAGCUGGAUUUAGGGCCAGAGACAGAGACAGACUCAGACACAGAGAUCAAGACACACACACGUGACAGCUUUUCCAGAAUAAUGUCUUUAAAGCUGGCUGUGGACAAGCUCAGAGAAACUCACACCAUCCUGGGGGCCAGUUGCAAACGCUGCAGCACAGGACAAACCUCUGAACCCGCCUGUGGCAUGUGGCUUCACAGAACCACUGGCCUGCGCACAGUCCAUUCUGGUUUGGGUUGGUUUGGUUGGUCGGUUGGUUUUGUUAGCAUUAAUGCCACACCCGCAGCAUAUGGAAGUUCCUGGGCCAGAGACUGAAUCCAAGCUUCACCGGGACCAACACCACAGCUUCGGCAACACCAGAUACCUUAACCCACUGUGCCAGGACGCUGAACCCUCUGCACCACAACGGGCACUCCAUUUUCUAGCUUGUUUUUGAUCACAGGACGCAUCAGACUUGAGAGGGGGAAUACGCAAGAAACCGAUCUGCAUAUUUCUCGUGGGAUUGACUAUUCUUAUUUUUUGUAAGGAGACUAAGUGGAAUUAAGUUGGUUUUGAGCGUUCGGGCGGGAGCUGUAAGCACAUCAACAUGUGAAAUAACUCUGACUCUCAAGUCUGUUUCAUGUGAAGAAAACGCUCACAUCACAGAAAGAUGGUCACCCUAAUUGGCAACCUUUCAGAGGAAGGCUACACGCAAGAGCGACGCACCUCCUGCCAGACCUCGGACCCGCCCCAAAGUGACUAAAUACAGCCUCGGUAAUACAACAGCAUCGCCAAGACUGCCGUUCCAAAUACAGUUCUAUGGAUGACACUGUGUGUUCAGUCCAUAAGAAAACAGCCAAGCUCAUGCCAAAAUGUUUAUGUAUCAAACCAGACACACACACACACACACACACACACACACACACACACACACACACGCUUCUGUGGAAAGACAAAUCGGGAAACGGCUGCCACCUCUUGCGGGGAGGGUCUUUCCCAAAGACCAGUCCAGGUUCUUCAGGGUUUGGUUUGGUUCCAUUCGCAAAACUAAGCAGUGAACAUUUGCAAGACUCUCCGCUGAAGGGCAUAUGUAAGAAGGAAUCGCAAAGCCCUCAGAAACCAACAGGACGGCAGCCUGCUUCCCACGGGGCUUUAUGGGAAAAGUCACCCCACUUUAUUCUGACAUUUGCCCACUGGGCCGGACAGAGCACACACCCACAUUCUGGAUGAGGAAGCUGAGUCUCAAGGGCAAGUGUUCCUGGGAUGAGGCUGGAGGGGUUGGCGGAGGACAGCUGGCACAGCUCCACGUGCGAAGCUGGUGGCAGAUGGGGGGGGCUCCUUCUGCUCCUCCGCCUGUGCCUCCAGCAACAUGGUCAGUUCAGGGGGCAGGUGUGGCAAAGAGGAAAAACCAUGACAGAAACGCAGAGCGACCUUGAUGAACGCAGUCUGGGGCAGAAACAGGGCUCUCACCUGGCAGCUCUGUGCGGGCGUCACCCUGUCACCUCCGGCAGCCGGCCAGGUUCUCCCUGCAAAGCCUGGGAAUGCCCCCAGUCCUCUGGGAGAGCGGGUCGUCUGGGAGCGUGGCCUCCACCGCGCAGCGUCGUNNNNNNNNNNNGCGUCGUGUCCUGUUACCACCCAGGCACGCCCAGCGCCCUCAGCAGACAGGGCUUGUGGGUCCAUCCCCUGAGCUGUCCGGUGGACGGAGGCUCAGCACGGCCGGCUGAUGUGGGGGGCGCAGAGCAGAGGGGACCCCGCAGGGCAGGGUCCUGUCCUGCAGGGAUUCAAAGCGAGUGGGCACAGGAGACGGGGAAGGAAGGAAGCAGAGCUGGGCUCUGGGGCGGGGGGGCCCUGCUGUCAGGAGGCCACGCAGCGGAUGCCCAGCGCACCGGGAUGCAGCCCGGAGUCCCCUCCACUGGGUCUGCUCCUGAGCCACGGGUCCAGGAGGAGGUGCCCACUGGACAGUCAGACCCGCCUUGCUGACCCCCGCGAUGUCGCGCUCACGCCCUGAGUUUUGCAAGGGAUGGAGUUCUGCGCUUCUGCUUCAGGAGGAGAGGAGGUGCUGGGGCUCGAGGCGGGAGCUCGGCCUCGGUGAGACUCAGAGCCGCUCCAUCGCUGGCUCCCAGAGAGAUCCGGCUUUCCCACGGGAUCGCGGACAGAAGGCUGAACUCUGAACUCGAGGCCACACGAAGCUUCCCAGCCUCAGGAUGCUAGCCGGUGUGCCCCAGUUUCCCAUGUGGCACAGGGGUUCCUGAAUCUUGUGCAAACUGCAAAGUCCUUUUUUUUUCUUUUUCUUAGGGCUGCACCCGUGGCACAUGGAGGUUCCCAGGCUAGGGGUCGAAUUGGAGCUACAGCUACUGACCUACACCGCAGCCACAGCAAUGCCAGAUCUGAGCAGCAUCUGUGACCUACACCACAGCUCACGGCAACGCCGGAUCCUUAACCUGCUCAGCAAGGGCAGGGAUGGAACCCGCAACCUCAUGGUUCCUAGUCGGAUUCAGUUCCACUGCGCCACGAUGGGAAUGCCCCGCAGACUCUUAGAUAGUGUUUACCCGAAUUUUAAAGCCACCAGAAAGGAACAUGACAGAAAGGAGAGCAUCAAAACCCCAUAAAUGUUAACACAUGUUAACAGCUGUUCUCUAAAGUGAAACUGGAGGUGGGUUUUGUUUUUCUAAGUUUUCCUUAUUUUCUAUAAUUUGCUUACAUGGAGCACAUAUGCCUGUUAUCUUCAAAGAUAAAGGAAAUAUUUUAAAUGCACUAAAAAUAGAAUUACACCUCCCCCCAAGAGAUGCCUAUGUCACUGGGUAUGGGGGCCCACCCCACACCUGCAACCACAAAAGAAGCCUGCUCUGGUGGUGCCCACCCCCUCCCCCGGCCAGAUGCCCUCUGUUUCUUCUUAGGAAGUCCCAUCAUCGUCAUUAUUACUAUUAUUUUGCUUUUUAGCACCGCACCCACGGCAUAUGGAAAUUCCCCAGGCUGGGGGCUGAAUCGGACCUACAGCUGCUGGCCUACAUCACAGCCACAGCCACGCAGGAUCCCAGCCACGUCUUCAACCUACACCACAGCUCAUGGCAACGCCGGAUCCUUAACCCACUGAGGGAGGCCAGAGAUGGAAAGCGCGUCCACAUGGGUACUUGUCAGGUUCAUUUCCAACGAGCCAUGACAGGAACUUCUGUAAGUCCCGUUAUCGCAGGAGAUUCCCCGACUUCUUGGGAGAAACCCAGACUCUGAAGGAGAGACACACAUCAGCCACCCGAGACGCCCGGCGUCUCCAUGAACCCCGAUAAACACACCUGUAACUGGACCACCCCAAGCCACCAGCAAACAACUGAUCCAACAGUGAAAGACGGAUCGCUGGCGUCUGAGAGCAAUUUCGGGAAUGCCUUAUCAUCACGGCAGACUUAGCCACAACUAAUUCCAGAGCUUCCUUUGAGCAUCUGGUAUACCAGGCUCAGCACGGGGACAGAAAGAAAGAAGUCCACGGAGCAGGCCGUGAGCACGGCAGGCUCUAAACGAGCCCAAAGUAUGAAAAGAGAUGUGUCUAGACUUACCCGGGUUCAAUCAGGGGCAGGAUUUAAACUAAAAUCCAGGCUUUCCUGUUAUCAGUAGUUUAUUGCUGAGUCAAGGGGCUGGGAGGCAGAGGGACCCCUGCCCCCCUGCGGGGUUCUGGCCCUCUUGCCACUGUGCGCAAGCAGUCUGACAGGUGACCUGGUCCUGUCCCGCCUCCCACCGCCUCCCGUUUGUCUAGGCAGCCUGAUCUCUGAGCCCACGGCGCUGAUGCCCGCUCAGGGCUCACCCCUUCCAGGGCCUCUCUGCAAACCCACAUGAUUCUACGUCCAUCUAGCCUCCCAGUCCUUGUCUGCUGGUCCACACCAUCCAGCAAGGAUGCACAUGCAAUCUCUCCAUUCUGCAAACUGGCCUCAACGUUGUACCUCAUGCAGGGGAUUCUUUUGAUUGUAAAACUGGUUUCUAAGGUCUUAAAGCAAGAACAUGCAUUACAGGGCAGUGUUUGCAGGGAGACUGGGUGGGAGAUGGAAGGAGGAGAGACAGGAACUGGAGGGGGGGUGGUCCUGGCUCCACCCCAGCACAGCAACAUCAGGUCCUCCGGACACAGAAGGGUCCUACCUUCCUCCUUCUGUUUGUCCCCCACCCCAAGGGGAUUUUGGGGUGUGCUCUGGGGGUGUCUUAGCUUCCAAAAUUUCUUCCCUCUCUUUCUGAAUCUUUCUAGAACAUUCUGCUGCUGAAAAAAAAUACAUAUGGCAGAUCAUUCCCUCCUUCAGGCCAAAAUUCUUAAUGCUCAUAUCCUAGAUCCUAUUUAUAUGUACAAAGAAAUGUCUUGAAAG
This 5981-nucleotide long non-coding RNA is filed under the name Sus scrofa (pig). Its description in RNAcentral is "lncRNA (ENSSSCG00005023829.1)". The record is from RNAcentral. Lineage: Eukaryota; Metazoa; Chordata; Mammalia; Artiodactyla; Suidae.